Molecule: ribosomal RNA, 253 nt
Filed under: uncultured bacterium
Lineage: Bacteria
Description: partial 16S ribosomal RNA
Rfam family: Bacterial small subunit ribosomal RNA
Source: RNAcentral
UACGUAGGGUGCAAGCGUUAAUCGGAAUUACUGGGCGUAAAGCGUGCGUAGGCGGCUUUGCAAGACAGAUGUGAAAUCCCCGGGCUUAACCUGGGAACUGCAUUUGUGACUGCAUGGCUGGAGUGCGGCAGAGGGGGAUGGAAUUCCGCGUGUAGCAGUGAAAUGCGUAGAUAUCGGGAGGAACACCCGUAGCGAAGGCGGCACUCUGGGCCGGUACUGACGCUGAGGAGCGAAAGCGUGGGGAGCAAACAGG